CCUGUGCAUGCCUGGUGCCCACAGAGGUCAGAAGAAGACAUCAGAUUCUCUGGAACUGAAGCUAAAGAUCGUUUUGAGCUGCUGUGUGGACACUGGGAAUUGAGCUCGGGUCUGCUGGAGUGUGUUAAGGCUGAGUGUACAAAAACAUAUGACUGAUUCAGAAAGCCACUAGAAACUGAAGCAGAUGUGGAUGGCCUCUGAAUAGUCUGACCCACUGGGGAACAGCUCAAAGCUCCAAGGCAUGGAUGGCCCAGAGGAGACUGGGAUAUAAAGAAUUACAGAAAAAAUGGAAUCCUGCACCAUUUGUAUGUGAAACAGGACAACAAAAGAGCAGUUAGUCUACAGGGAUGGAGGAAAAUCACACCGGAGACCAUCCAAGGGUCUCCCCAUUGGAAAAAGGUCUAGGAAUUCAGCAUUUGCAAAGAUCCAAACUGGAGGUUAAUUAGAAGGAUUGGGCUGAGAACUGGAGACUAGACCUUCGUUCUGGACAAAAGGAAAAGGGAUAAGGACAGAGGAAGGUGAUGUCUGCCAGCUGCUGCUCCAAAUAAAAUGCACCUACAUUUACAAAGGCCCUGGAGCUGGUUGCCUAGCAACAUCUUUCUACCUCCCCAGUCUGUUCCAUCCAUCCUGACCCACCACCAUACAUCCACUGAGCUUGAUAUGCAAGGCCCUUGGGAACCCCCUCACUUUGAAGCUGCAUUUAUGCAUCUUUGCCCAAUUCAUUGGGAAGAUGCUUACAGCUUACAACUUGUAGGUAGUCCUGGUAGCAUAGCAUCAUGUACCAUUCAUGACCCUGGGACAAGGCAAAAGAGAGCUGUCCUCCCUGCAUGUCCUUCAGCAAUACAGGAUAGCUAGUGCUUUGAGAAAGA
Mus musculus (house mouse) is the source of this 869-nucleotide long non-coding RNA. RefSeq annotates it as predicted gene, 33215. The transcript has 3 exons. The record is from RefSeq and is a predicted model, not a curated record. Lineage: Eukaryota; Metazoa; Chordata; Mammalia; Rodentia; Muridae.